This 423-nucleotide unclassified non-coding RNA is filed under the name fungal sp. Its description in RNAcentral is "partial internal transcribed spacer region". The stretch from base 1 to 46 matches the Rfam family "Eukaryotic small subunit ribosomal RNA", at positions 1786 to 1831 of the family's 1831-position model. Lineage: Eukaryota; Fungi. The record is from RNAcentral.
AAGUCGUAACAAGGUUUCCGUAGGUGAACCUGCGGAAGGAUCAUUAACACGUAUCCAAACGUUAAAACCCCCCCCGUGAACCUUCAUCCUGCUCUUACGGUCUACAGGAAUCGUAGAAGCGCUAUCCUUGCAAUCAAUGACACUUUCCGCCACUGACUGCUUGGGGAAACAUUGCCUAUAGAACUACCGCUCGAUUGUAACUGUUCCAAUGUUUGCACGUAGCCAGAGGUCUCUGAAUCACUACAACUUUCCGGGCUAUGAUUUAUCAGAAAUUGCGAACUACGCGGGUUACAUACACUCGGGCAGGAGCUUUGCCAAAGGGUCCCCAUGCCCCCUAAUAACCCCACAGUUUAAUGUGAAGCUCAAUGUAAUACAUUGGGUAAAAAAACCGAACAACUGUUUACAAUGGAUAUCUUGGUUCUC